Molecule: non-coding RNA, 74 nt
Organism: Hypoxylon sp. FL1150
Lineage: Eukaryota; Fungi; Ascomycota; Sordariomycetes; Xylariales; Hypoxylaceae
Source: the annotation of a GenBank genome assembly
GGUUCCAUAACUCAGCUGGUCAGAGUGUCGUACAAGAAUUACGAAAGUCGGGAGUUCAAACCUCUCUGGGACCA